This 686-nucleotide long non-coding RNA is filed under the name Medicago truncatula (barrel medic). RNAcentral's name for it is "long non-coding RNA (MTRU_LNC006850)". The record is from RNAcentral. Lineage: Eukaryota; Viridiplantae; Streptophyta; Magnoliopsida; Fabales; Fabaceae.
AUGAUUAUAUGUUGAUGUUCUUAUGAAGAUGAUUAUUGGUGACUAUAUGUUUUGUGACUUAUUUGAAAUUGAAUUGUGACAUUGUGUUUAUGAAGUUUUUUGGUUCUUAAGCUAUAAUGAUAUUUUCUACUAAUAUGGAAUGAGAUGAUAUAGUAUAUUCUUCAAGGUUCUGGAUAUUAUGUUUGUGAUGUGAUAUGACUUUGACUUAAUUGCGUACGUGUUCUUCUCAUUUUUUUUCUACUAUUACAUGUUCUCGGAACUCACCCCUUCGUUGUUUGUGUUUGCUGGCUUGGCCCUGCGGUUGCGAAACCGUAGUUAUUAGGUUAUGCGUCUUGGAGUCAAGUACAUGCCUUUUGUGAAGAUUGUCUUGUGUCGUCUAUUAUUUUGGGUAAAAACACCGCUUUGAUAGUGACACGGAAAAAGGGAUAUGCUUACUUAUUUCAUUUUGUACAAAAAAAAACCAUUGACCAUGAUGUAAAAGAAAGUAUUUUCAAAAGCAAAAGAUUCGAUUUUAAUGUUAUUAUGAUUUUUAAUGAAGUGAAGUCUGAAUUAUGUUUGUUACGAGUCAAUGUGAUAUCCUAAAUCUUGUGGAAGAAUUCCUAUAUUAUUAGAGAAGUUUUUAUCUAACACUUUCCGCUGCGAAUCAAACUCUAUUUUUAAUUAAAUAAUAGUAAUAAUUAUUUUUG